RNAcentral lists this ribosomal RNA (958 nucleotides) under Aurelia sp. 3 sensu Dawson et al. (2005). RNAcentral's name for it is "12S ribosomal RNA". It matches the Rfam family "Bacterial small subunit ribosomal RNA". The record is from RNAcentral. Lineage: Eukaryota; Metazoa; Cnidaria; Scyphozoa; Semaeostomeae; Ulmaridae.
ACCCUUUGACUUUGGGGUAUAGUAAAUGCUUUUGUCUUUUUAAUACAUGCUAGUAAAUUGCGAACAGGUGAGUUAGCCCGCUUUGCGAAGCGGUUUAUUACCAGGAUUAUGUUUACCUGAUUAGUAAAAAUUCCUACGACAAUAAGAUUUAUCCACAUCUUCACUGAAACAACGGAAGACAAUAAGCAGCAGUAUAGAAUAUUGUACAAUCGAUUAUUAUCAGAUACAGAAAGACAAUAAGAGUUGUCAAAUCAGGUGCCAGCAGACGCGGUUAUACCUGAGACUCGAGUUUUACAAAAUAAAAAGGCUUAAAGAGUGUGUAAGGCAUGAUUAUUUUUUGAAAACAUAAAAUUUUUAAUACAGAGAUCAAAUUCAACAAGAUAAAAUAGAAUUUCGUUUUGUAAAAAUGUUUUUAGAGCUAAAACACUAAAUAAUAGAUAGCCAAUGGGAUUAGAUACCCCAGUAACCUAUUACCUAAAUCUAGAUUUGUUUCUAAAACAAUAUUCCGCCUGAGUAGUAUAAUCAAUUGAUUGAAAUUCAAAAAGUCUGGCUGUUUGUUUUCCAAUCAGAGGAUUGUGUAGUUUAAUUUGAUAAUCCGCAUAAUACCUUACCUUUCUUAGAUAAUCAGGUGCUGCAUGGUCGUCCUCAGCUUAUAUUUAAUAUGUUAAUAAUCUUAACCUCCAAAAGCUGAAGUCAGGUAGUAUGGCCCUAAUAGAAAGGGAUUUAUGCAAUACAAUUUUCUUAGAAAAAAUCAAGUAAACGGAAGGGAUUUGCAAAUUCCUAGAAGUUGAAUUUGACAGUAAUCGAAGACAAUAAAGCUCCGAUGAAUAGGUUCAAGCAUUAGUACAAAUUGCCCGUCACCUUUAACAACUUAUCUUUUCAUUAAUUUAGAAGUUAAAGCAAGUCGUAACAUAGUGAGGGAAAGGGAACUUUUCCUUGAAACAAAUUUGUUUUUAUG